AAGUAUAGGAGCUGACGCCUGCCCAGUGCUGGAAGGUCAAGUGGAAAGGUAAGCGUUUUCAAGAUGCGAAGCUUUGAAAUUAAGCCCCAGUGAACGGCGGCCGUAACUAUAACGGUCCUAAGGUAGCGAAAUUCCUUGUCAGGUAAGUUCUGACCCGCACGAAAGGCGUAAUGAUUUGGGCACUGUCUCAACAAUAUUCUCGGCGAAAUUGUAGUACUAGUGAAGAUGCUAGUUACCUGUGAUAAGACAGCAAGACCCCAUGGAGCUUUACUGUAGCUUGAUAUUGAGACUAGGUAGGAGAUGUACAGGAUAGGUGGGAGACGAAGAUACUUGGACGCCAGUUCAAGAGGAGUCACUGUUGGGAUACCACCCUUCUUCUAUAUUGGAAUUCUAACUAAUCGCCGUAAUCCGGUGAUAGGACAGUGUCAGGUGGGCAGUUUGACUGGGGCGGUCGCCUCCUAAAGAGUAACGGAGGCGUUCAAAGGUCAGCUUAACACGGUCAGAAAUCGUGUGGAAGAGUGCAAAGGUAGAAGCUGGCUUGAUUGUGAGAGUGACAACUCGAGCAAACGCGAAAGCGGGACUUAGUGACCCGAUGGUAGUAAGUGGAAAUGCCAGAGCUCAACGGAUAAAAGUUACCCUGGGGAUAACAGGCUUAUCUCCCCCGAGAGUCCAUAUCGACGGGGAGGUUUGGCACCUCGAUGUCGGCUCAUCGCAUCCUGGAGCGGUAGUACGUUCCAAGGGUUGGGCUGUUCGCCCAUUAAAGCGGUACGCGAGCUGGGUUCAGAACGUCGUGAGACAGUUCGGUCCUUAUCUAUCACAGGCGUAAGAUAUUUGAGAGGAGUUGCCCCUAGUACGAGAGGACCGGGGUGAAGGAACCGAUGGUGCACCAGUUGUAUCACCAGAUGCAUAGCUGGGUAGCCAAGUUCCGACGGGAUAAACGCUGAAAGCAUAUAAGUGUGAAGCCCACCUCGAGAUAAGAUAUCUCAUAAUGAAAAGUUAGUAAGCCCCCUUGGAGAGAACGAGGAGAUAGGCUGGGAGUGUAAGUAUAGUAAUAUAUUGAGCGGACCAGUACUAAUAGGGCGAGGGCUUGACCAA
RNAcentral lists this ribosomal RNA (1095 nucleotides) under human gut metagenome. Its description in RNAcentral is "bacterial LSU rRNA". It matches the Rfam family "Bacterial large subunit ribosomal RNA", at positions 1841 to 2925 of the family's 2925-position model. The record is from RNAcentral.